AAAAGAAAAGAAGGUAAAAUAACUCCAAACUCAGGAGGCAAUGAAAAACAUCUCAGGGUGUAUCUUCAGAAAAGCCUGGUGGUUUUCAAGACCAUUUCGGGAGCGUUUCCUACCGCCUUACCACAGUCCAAGCGGACAGCAAGAGGUCAGGUGCUGCACAGAGCGGUUUGCUGUCUGCUCUGGACGCCGCGCUGCAGCACCACGCCUGCUCUCUCCCUGCAGCAAUUCCUUAGGGCUGUUGGGAGAACGUCGCUCACAGCACAGCAGGGACAGCGCCAUGCAGAGCUGCACCCCAACCCCCCCCUCCUGAAGG
Numida meleagris (helmeted guineafowl) is the source of this 313-nucleotide long non-coding RNA. RefSeq lists it as uncharacterized. Lineage: Eukaryota; Metazoa; Chordata; Aves; Galliformes; Numididae. The record is from RefSeq and is a predicted model, not a curated record. The transcript has 2 exons.